CUCAGCAUUGGGUCUCUCGUUUAUCAUGAUCAUUGUCCUUGGUAUCAUCAUGUACAAGAUGAACAAUAUAAAGUGUCUGCAGUGUAGAGGAUCUGUCUCAGACAAAAAGUCCAGGAGUCUUUUCUUCAGAUACAUGGCGGGACCCCUUCUCAGCAAAGCCAGAAUGUGAAGCCUCAUGCAAACACGUCAGACCAACAGCAAAACUGUGAUUAUGAUGCCCUGAACUAUACUGCCCUGAAGUUCAGUGAGAAGAAGAGUGCCAAGCCCAGGAGACAGAGGAGAGAACAGAGAGAGGAAGAAACCAUCUACUCUGGUAUGAGUCAUCAAGACAUGAUGUGACAUAUGAGGGUCAUUCAGUCAGCAUCAUUCUAAGUUAAGCCCCACCCCUCCUCUGAAUUCCACUUUGAUCCUGACUGAGCCAGCGUGAACUGACUAUUAUAUACAUUUCUCAUUUAUUGUAGGAUGCUAUUGCAGGGGCCUAGUUUUGCCAUAUAUCAACGUAAAAUCAUUCAGAUGCUGAGCAUAAUUGUCCAGUAAGUGUGAAAGCUGAUACUAGGAUGAUUUCAGAAGUCUCAAAUCCUUAGCAAUAGUGGCUGAGGUUGACUGACUCCAUACAUUUGUUUUUGUGGAAGAGUACAACAAAAUGUAUAUAAUGAUUUUGCAAAUGUCUGAAUUCUUCCUUUUGAUGAUAAUAGUUGUAACAUAGUACUCUGUAACCUGCCCUUAUGCUUGUGUG
Molecule: long non-coding RNA, 736 nt
Filed under: Salmo salar (Atlantic salmon)
Lineage: Eukaryota; Metazoa; Chordata; Actinopteri; Salmoniformes; Salmonidae
Description: lncRNA (ENSSSAG00000054602.2)
Source: RNAcentral